RNAcentral lists this ribosomal RNA (910 nucleotides) under uncultured bacterium. Its description in RNAcentral is "bacterial SSU rRNA". It matches the Rfam family "Bacterial small subunit ribosomal RNA", at positions 33 to 934 of the family's 1533-position model. The record is from RNAcentral.
ACGCUAGCUACAGGCUUAACACAUGCAAGUCGAGGGGAAACGGCAUUAAGUGCUUGCACUUUUUGGACGUCGACCGGCGCACGGGUGAGUAACGCGUAUCCAACCUUCCCAUGACUAAGGGAUAACCUGCCGAAAGGCAGACUAAUACCUUAUGGUCUUCACUGACGGCAUCAGAUGUGAAGUAAAGAUUUAUCGGUUAUGGAUGGGGAUGCGUCUGAUUAGUUAGUUGGCGGGGUAACGGCCCACCAAGGCAACGAUCAGUAGGGGUUCUGAGAGGAAGGUCCCCCACAUUGGAACUGAGACACGGUCCAAACUCCUACGGGAGGCAGCAGUGAGGAAUAUUGGUCAAUGGGCGAGAGCCUGAACCAGCCAAGUAGCGUGCAGGACGACGGCCCUAUGGGUUGUAAACUGCUUUUGUAUGGGGAUAAAGUCAAUCACGUGUGAUUGUUUGCAGGUACCAUACGAAUAAGGACCGGCUAACUCCGUGCCAGCAGCCGCGGUAAUACGGAAGGUCCGGGCGUUAUCCGGAUUUAUUGGGUUUAAAGGGAGCGUAGGCUGGAGAUUAAGUGUGUUGUGAAAUGUAGACGCUCAACGUCUGACUUGCAGCGCAUACUGGUUUCCUUGAGUACGCACAACGUUGGCGGAAUUCGUCGUGUAGCGGUGAAAUGCUUAGAUAUGACGAAGAACUCCGAUUGCGAAGGCAGCUGACGGGAGCGCAACUGACGCUGAAGCUCGAAGGUGCGGGUAUCGAACAGGAUUAGAUACCCUGGUAGUCCGCACAGUAAACGAUGGAUGCCCGCUGUUGGUACGUGGUAUCAGCGGCUAAGCGAAAGCAUUAAGCAUCCCACCUGGGGAGUACGCCGGCAACGGUGAAACUCAAAGGAAUUGACGGGGGCCCGCACAAGCGGAG